Molecule: unclassified non-coding RNA, 240 nt
Filed under: soil metagenome
Description: partial contains 5.8S ribosomal RNA, internal transcribed spacer 2, and large subunit ribosomal RNA
Source: RNAcentral
AACAUCGCGCACCUGCGGGAACCUGCGGAAGGAUCAUUAUAGAAUUGGUAGCUCUGCUACCUUAACUAUACUACACUGUUUACAUUCCUGUUGCUUCCCCACCAUGUGGGUGCCACCGGUCUCUGACUGGUUGUGCUCGGUGGGGAAAUUCAGUUAAACAUACUUUGUCAAUAUUCUGUAUCAUAAAAUAAUCUAAUUAUUUUAAAACUUUCAACAAUGGAUCUCAGAUCGGAAGAGCAC